AUGGCCGGCGCUGCUGUUGGAGAGAUGGUGUGCAGAGUUUGUUUGAGCCCUUGCUACCGCGAGAGCAGGACAAGUGGGAUGAGCAUGUUUGUCUGGAAUGAGUUCAAAAACGCAGGGGUUGUGCCAUUCAACGAAAGAGUUGGUUUCAACGACUUGACAGGGGAUACACUGAAGUUUAAGGCAAACAAACGAACAUACACCGUUAAGUGUCACAAGGGGCCCACAAAGAGCGCAAUGUAUGGUAGUGGAUGGAGGAAAUUUGUUGCAGACAACAAGUUGGGGAAGGGUCAGCUAGUUCUCUUCUACUUGGACCAGCCUUCCCCAAGGGCAGUUUUUCUGUGUGAUUCAAUUCGAAAUGGUGCCGAAGAUGAAGGAUCUGAGGGUGAGAAUGACUACAUGGAAGUCUCAGAUGAAGAAGACGAGGAUAUACAAGCUGACAACGUACAAUGCUGA
RNAcentral lists this ribosomal RNA (453 nucleotides) under Triticum aestivum (bread wheat). RNAcentral's name for it is "partial small subunit ribosomal RNA". The record is from RNAcentral. Lineage: Eukaryota; Viridiplantae; Streptophyta; Magnoliopsida; Poales; Poaceae.